RNAcentral lists this unclassified non-coding RNA (1055 nucleotides) under Hevea brasiliensis (rubber tree). The record is from RNAcentral. Lineage: Eukaryota; Viridiplantae; Streptophyta; Magnoliopsida; Malpighiales; Euphorbiaceae.
CUCCUCCCAGCCCCUCCCCCCUCCCUCCCUCCACGCCAGCAAAUCAUAAAGACAAAUGAUAAUGUUUAAUGAAUUGCAAUCAAGGGUUUAAUGCAUAGACACAAACAUCAACGAUACAUGGAAACCCAUUUUUCUUGUUCCCGACAAUAGCCACAAUUUUCAACAACAGACAACAGAUACUAGGAAUUUCAUUGAAAGUUUGCAACCAGUGUGUGCAUAAAAUAUAGAAAUAAGGAGUCACUCUGGAUUCAUGAAAGCUACCUACUUGCUAAAACUAGUCUUUUCGGAGACAAUGGAGACGUUUCAUGUAAUUCUAAGCAGUUGUCUAAUUUAAGCUAGUAAUGUAAGCAAACUAAUUCUAGAAAAAUAAAUGAUGGGAUUCCCUUAAGUCUGCAAUGUUAAUGCAAGUGGAGCAAACAGUAUGAAGGUACAAAUCAGGGUAAGUGACAAUGCAGUCGCCAUGGCCGAAGGAAGGAACAACAAAAAGGGCCAAAUGUCCAAGGAAAAGUUGAAAGCCUAUCAUUUACAGAAUUGUAUGACUUGGUGUGGUGUGACAGUAAUGGACAAAGAAUACCAAAUUAACCCAAACGCAAUAAUACAAACACACACAAAAAAAUAAGUGGUGCAGACUGCAAAUAUAUUGGAAAUGAAAUCACACUUUCUCCUCUUCCCUUCGAUCCUUUUUUUCCCCUGAGCUUAUUGCAAAUAAAAAUUUUCAAAAAUUCUUUCUUUCAGGGAAACUUUUCAUUUCUCGAAGCCAACAGGCAAAAACCCUAAUCCACAAUAAUGCUCGAUAAGCUACUGUCUCAAGUAUCCAGGACGAUCAUAACCAAUUGAAUUACAGGCGACAAUUUGCUUCACAGAAUUCUAAGAAAAUAUAAAUUGAACCUCAAAUAUCCUAACUUUAACAUACAUUAAAAACUUAGACCUAAGAAAUUUUGUUCCCAAACAAACAAUAAUUUAGAGUUUAAUUCCAAUUUAGUAAAAGACAAGAUUGAUAAUCAACGAGAAUCAGACAAAGCGAGAUGAAGUGUGAGAAGCGAGGGAAAAUACCU